This 450-nucleotide ribosomal RNA is filed under the name uncultured bacterium. RNAcentral describes it as "partial 16S ribosomal RNA". It matches the Rfam family "Bacterial small subunit ribosomal RNA", at positions 338 to 795 of the family's 1533-position model. The record is from RNAcentral.
CCUACGGGUGGCUGCAGUCGAGAAUCUUUCACAAUGGGGGCAACCCUGAUGGAGCGACGCCGCGUGGAGGAUAAGGUCUUCGGAUUGUAAACUCCUGUCAUGCGCGAACAAGGUUGCAGGGCUAACACCUUUGCAAAUUGAUGGUACCGCAAGAGGAAGAGACGGCUAACUCUGUGCCAGCAGCCGCGGUAAUACAGAGGUCUCAAGCGUUGGUCGGAAUCACUGGGCGUUGGGGUGGCAUGUCAGGCGUUAAAGCCCGGGGCUCAACCUCGGAAUUGCAUCCGAUACUGCCAUGCUGGAGUACUGAAGAGGUGACUAGAAUUCUAGGUGUAGCAGUGAAAUGCGUAGAUAUCUAGAGGAAUACCAACGGCGAAGGCAGGUCACUGGGCAGUUACUGACACUGAGGCACGAAGGCCAGGGGAGCAAACGGGAUUAGAUACCCCUGUAGUC